GUUGAUUGAAGCCUCUUUUUUAAACUUACAUGUUUAGGAGCCUGUAGAGUUCUUUGGGAUUCUUUUUACUCAUCCUUACUUCGAUGACGUCCCAGAGGAUAUUUUCCGCUCAAUGGUAAAGUACCUCGACGAUAAAGACGUACAAUCGCGAUAAGAGAUCAGAGAACAUGGGAACCAGAGAAAUUUCUUCGUAAAUUUCCAAAAAAAGGUUGCGAUAGAAAAGAUUGCCUACGAAGUCUACUGAAAGUUUUGCGUGAUUUCCGGGGUGCGAUUCCUCAUUUAUUACAAUUGCUAAGUGUUGGURAAGAGUUAGUCACCACGCCUCUCAAGGAUAACCAAGAGCUCAAAGAAAAAACUAUAGACAUUGUUAGCAAAAACCCGAAUAUCUGCUGGGAGACAUUGGCUGGUCAUUUAAAAGUCGAUGAAGAAAUAGUCAAGAAAUGUAGGGAAGAUUACUCGGGAGAUACACAUAAAGUAACAAGCCAGAUGCUCAGAGAAUGGAUCGAAACAUCAGAUGAGAGCUGUACAUUAGAGAUCAUAUUUGAAGCUUUACGGUUGUGUGGGUAUAAAGAAACAGGGAUAGAACUAGCCACCUAUACGACGGAAAAAUGCAAAAGUAGAAUAUACUAGCGCAGCUAUUGAGCAGCUAUUUUUGCUGGCCCUUGAAAAAAAUAAUAAGCAAAAUACAUGAGUAGACAAUAUAAUUCCACUUAGCAUAAACCUACUAGCAUACUAUCACGAAUCCUGGAAUCUGAUUGGCUAASGUACUCACUAUCUAUCCUGUGAUAGAUAGUGAGUAGCGAAAAAACAAACAAGUGCAUGGUCAAGUUUUGUUGAAAUCUCUGCUUGUUUCUAAACAUUUAGUCACURUAUAUAAAAAUCUGUUGUAGAAAAGACUAGGAAAGGAAUUGAAGUUUUGGACGGUAGAGACUACAAAAUAAAAACUGAGGAAUAUUUAGCAAUUUUAAUUUUAAUUUUUUUUUCGCGCCUCAUCGACUAUCUAUUGACUCAUAGAAAACUCGACCUCGAAGUCUAAUAUGUUAAUUAGACUUUUACGUCGAGUGUUGCUAAUCUCUAUAUAUUAGAUAUAAAUUUUUUUUUCACGGGCCAAGUAAAAUUAUCUUAAUUAAUAAUAGUGUUUCAGUCAUAAGAUGACGGAUACAAGAUUUUUGGAACACGAAUUUUUGGAAAAAAAAAUGCUUUUUUAAAAAACUAUAAAUGCUAAAACGCUAGGGCGAGGGUUGUUUAAGUAAGUAAGUAUUGUAAAAGGAUGUUAGAGGGUUAGUUGAGCGGGUUAUUUAAAAAUAUAGUUAGAAUUAUUACAAUAAAUUAA
Long non-coding RNA from Actinia tenebrosa (Australian red waratah sea anemone), 1333 nucleotides. NCBI's taxonomy places the organism in Eukaryota, Metazoa, Cnidaria, Anthozoa, Actiniaria, Actiniidae. The record is from RefSeq and is a predicted model, not a curated record.